Molecule: ribosomal RNA, 245 nt
Filed under: uncultured bacterium
Lineage: Bacteria
Description: partial small subunit ribosomal RNA
Rfam family: Bacterial small subunit ribosomal RNA
Source: RNAcentral
AGAAUCAACGCUGGCGGCGUGCCUAACACAUGCAAGUCGAACGAGAAAGGGGAGCAAUCCCUGAGUACAGUGGCGACCGGGUGAGUAACGCGUGACUAACCUACCCUCGAGUGUGGAAUAACAUCGGGAAACCGAUGCUAAUACCGCAUAAUAUCGCAAGAUCAAAGGAGUAAUCCGCUUGAGGAGGGGGUCGCGGCUGAUUAGCUAGUUGGCAGGGUAAUGGCCUACCAAGACGGUGAUCUGUA